GUGUAUACAGGCUGCUGAGGUGCCCCUUUACCAGAUUUUUACUGAGGCAUGACAUUCUGGGGCCCCAGUUCAACUAUUUUCCAUGGUGGGACAUGCUCAACGAGACCCUUAA
RNAcentral lists this long non-coding RNA (112 nucleotides) under Pan troglodytes (chimpanzee). Its description in RNAcentral is "lincRNA". The record is from RNAcentral. Lineage: Eukaryota; Metazoa; Chordata; Mammalia; Primates; Hominidae.